GGCAUCAUGUCAGAUCUCAAUUCUUUUUAUAUAUAUUUGGACUUAGAGAAUAGUGCAAAAAAUAAAUUCUCUUUUGGAACCUAGAACUCAUUGUUCAGUAUGAGUUUUGAUACAUACAAGCAAGAAUGUU
Molecule: small nucleolar RNA, 130 nt
Filed under: Spermophilus dauricus (Daurian ground squirrel)
Lineage: Eukaryota; Metazoa; Chordata; Mammalia; Rodentia; Sciuridae
Description: Small nucleolar RNA SNORA40 (ENSSDAG00000001806.1)
Rfam family: Small nucleolar RNA SNORA40
About the family: The snoRNA ACA 40 belongs to the H/ACA family of snoRNAs and guides the pseudouridylation of 28S rRNA subunit at position U4565. NB This family has a high threshold value to exclude a large number of closely related sequences that do not appear to have conserved H and ACA boxes, and may be pseudogenes.
Source: Rfam by way of RNAcentral